CUUUUGUGGGGUGCUCGAGUGGCGAACGGGUGAGUAACACGUGAGUAACCUGCCCUUGACUUUGGGAUAACUUCAGGAAACUGGGGCUAAUACCGGAUAGGAGCUCCUGCUGCAUGGUGGGGGUUGGAAAGUUUCGGCGGUUGGGGAUGGACUCGCGGCUUAUCAGCUUGUUGGUGGGGUGGUGGCUUACCAAGGCUUUGACGGGUAGCCGGCCUGAGAGGGUGACCCGCCACAUUGGGACUGAGAUACGGCCCAG
Molecule: ribosomal RNA, 256 nt
Filed under: uncultured Actinomycetales bacterium
Lineage: Bacteria; Bacillati; Actinomycetota; Actinomycetes; Actinomycetales
Description: partial 16S ribosomal RNA
Rfam family: Bacterial small subunit ribosomal RNA
Source: RNAcentral